This 1365-nucleotide ribosomal RNA is filed under the name bacterium SCSIO16389. RNAcentral's name for it is "bacterial SSU rRNA". It matches the Rfam family "Bacterial small subunit ribosomal RNA", at positions 73 to 1433 of the family's 1533-position model. The record is from RNAcentral.
UCGGGGAACGAUAACGGCGUCGAGCGGCGGACGGGUGAGUAAUGCCUGGGAAAUUGCCCUGAUGUGGGGGAUAACCAUUGGAAACGAUGGCUAAUACCGCAUAAUAGCUUCGGCUCAAAGAGGGGGACCUUCGGGCCUCUCGCGUCAGGAUAUGCCCAGGUGGGAUUAGCUAGUUGGUGAGGUAAUGGCUCACCAAGGCGACGAUCCCUAGCUGGUCUGAGAGGAUGAUCAGCCACACUGGAACUGAGACACGGUCCAGACUCCUACGGGAGGCAGCAGUGGGGAAUAUUGCACAAUGGGCGCAAGCCUGAUGCAGCCAUGCCGCGUGUAUGAAGAAGGCCUUCGGGUUGUAAAGUACUUUCAGCAGUGAGGAAGGUGGUAGCGUUAAUAGCGUUAUCAUUUGACGUUAGCUGCAGAAGAAGCACCGGCUAACUCCGUGCCAGCAGCCGCGGUAAUACGGAGGGUGCGAGCGUUAAUCGGAAUUACUGGGCGUAAAGCGCAUGCAGGUGGUUUGUUAAGUCAGAUGUGAAAGCCCGGGGCUCAACCUCGGAAUUGCAUUUGAAACUGGCAGACUAGAGUACUGUAGAGGGGGGUAGAAUUUCAGGUGUAGCGGUGAAAUGCGUAGAGAUCUGAAGGAAUACCGGUGGCGAAGGCGGCCCCCUGGACAGAUACUGACACUCAGAUGCGAAAGCGUGGGGAGCAAACAGGAUUAGAUACCCUGGUAGUCCACGCCGUAAACGAUGUCUACUUGGAGGUUGUGGCCUUGAGCCGUGGCUUUCGGAGCUAACGCGUUAAGUAGACCGCCUGGGGAGUACGGUCGCAAGAUUAAAACUCAAAUGAAUUGACGGGGGCCCGCACAAGCGGUGGAGCAUGUGGUUUAAUUCGAUGCAACGCGAAGAACCUUACCUACUCUUGACAUCCAUAGAACUUUCCAGAGAUGGAUUGGUGCCUUCGGGAACUAUGAGACAGGUGCUGCAUGGCUGUCGUCAGCUCGUGUUGUGAAAUGUUGGGUUAAGUCCCGCAACGAGCGCAACCCUUAUCCUUGUUUGCCAGCGAGUAAUGUCGGGAACUCCAGGGAGACUGCCGGUGAUAAACCGGAGGAAGGUGGGGACGACGUCAAGUCAUCAUGGCCCUUACGAGUAGGGCUACACACGUGCUACAAUGGCGCAUACAGAGGGCAGCCAACUUGCGAAAGUGAGCGAAUCCCAAAAAGUGCGUCGUAGUCCGGAUUGGAGUCUGCAACUCGACUCCAUGAAGUCGGAAUCGCUAGUAAUCGUAGAUCAGAAUGCUACGGUGAAUACGUUCCCGGGCCUUGUACACACCGCCCGUCACACCAUGGGAGUGGGCUGCAAAAGAAGUGGGUAG